This is an RNA transcript of Orcinus orca (killer whale), 8140 nucleotides long. It is a transcript of the gene named G protein subunit alpha 12, with no coding region annotated. The record is from RefSeq and is a predicted model, not a curated record. The transcript has 9 exons. Lineage: Eukaryota; Metazoa; Chordata; Mammalia; Artiodactyla; Delphinidae.
CCUCCGCCGGGCCGAGCGGCGGGCAAGAGCGGGCCUCGGGGCGGCGGCGGCGGCGGACGCGGCCUGAGGGAGCGGCCGGCUGCCGCCUCGCCCGCCGCGGGGUCCAUGGCCUGAGCGGCCAUGUCCGGCGUGGUGCGGACCCUCAGCCGCUGCCUGCUGCCGGCCGAGGCCGGCGGGGCCCGCGAGCGCAGGGCGGGCGGCGGCGGGGCCCGCGACGCGGAGCGCGAGGCGCGGCGGCGCAGCCGGGACAUCGACGCGGGGCUGGCCCGCGAGCGGCGCGCCGUGCGGCGCCUCGUCAAGAUCCUGCUGCUGGGCGCGGGCGAGAGCGGCAAGUCCACCUUCCUCAAGCAGAUGCGCAUCAUCCACGGCCGGGAGUUCGACCAGAAGGCGCUGCUCGAGUUCCGCGACACCAUCUUCGACAACAUCCUUAAGGGCUCAAGGGUUCUGGUUGAUGCACGAGACAAGCUUGGUAUUCCUUGGCAGUAUUCCGAAAAUGAGAAGCACGGGAUGUUCCUCAUGGCCUUUGAGAACAAAGCGGGGCUGCCCGUGGAGCCUGCCACCUUUCAGCUGUACGUACCUGCUCUGAGCGCGCUCUGGAGGGAUUCUGGCAUCAGGGAAGCUUUCAGCCGGAGGAGCGAGUUUCAGCUGGGUGAAUCAGUGAAGUACUUCCUGGAUAACUUGGACCGGAUUGGCCAGCUGAAUUACUUUCCUAGCAAGCAGGACAUCCUGCUGGCGAGGAAGGCCACCAAGGGCAUCGUGGAGCAUGACUUUGUCAUCAAAAAAAUCCCUUUCAAGAUGGUGGAUGUGGGCGGCCAGCGGUCUCAGCGCCAGAAGUGGUUCCAGUGCUUUGAUGGGAUCACGUCGAUCCUGUUCAUGGUCUCGUCCAGUGAGUACGACCAGGUCCUCAUGGAAGACAGGCGCACCAACCGCCUGGUGGAGUCCAUGAACAUCUUUGAGACCAUCGUUAACAACAAGCUCUUCUUCAACGUCUCCAUCAUCCUGUUCCUCAACAAGAUGGACCUCCUGGUGGAGAAAGUAAAGACUGUCAGCAUCAAGAAGCACUUCCCAGACUUCAAGGGUGACCCCCACAGGCUGGAGGACGUCCAGCGCUACCUGGUCCAGUGUUUCGACCGGAAGAGACGGAAUCGCAGUAAGCCACUCUUCCACCACUUCACCACCGCCAUAGACACCGAGAACAUCCGCUUCGUGUUUCACGCUGUGAAGGACACCAUCCUGCAAGAGAACCUGAAGGAUAUUAUGUUGCAGUGAAGGAGGACGCCCCUCACUCUUGUGGUCCUUCAGCAGCCUCGCCGGCCACAGGCCAGAUCUCCCCGGUGUCCCGGAGCGGGUUUCCCGAAUCCGUGCCCUCAACACCUGGCUCAGGGAUGCCGUGAGGCCCGCCACGCUCUAGGCCAAAGGACGUGACACUUUGAUGUUAGCUACUGAAUCCUGGGGACUAGUGAAACUACUGAAAACCCGAGCGAUCACUCUGGUAUUAAUGUGUAAUGCUUAAUAACACAGCUUUCUUUCUUUUUACAGAAACUAUUCCUUCUCUGACACAAUGUAAUCGAGGACUGCGUGUGUGUGCGCGCACACUCUGUCUUUAAUGACAGAAACACGAAAACCUACAUCUCUGCAGAUGGCUUUUCUCUCUUAACUCGAGAGUGCUUGGUUCAUUACUUGUCGAUCACAGUUUUUAUUUCCACGUGGGACACAGGAGCGCUGUCACUGAGUGGAUGCCUCUAGAACACGACUUCAGGACAAGGAACAGGGCAGAUACAUGUAAAGACACGUGUGUGUGUGAAGGAGGGAUCCUGCUGCCCUGAGACCUGGGGGCCCGAGGAGAGGACCUGGUGAUGGACGUGGACGUGGCCAGAGACAGGAGGCUGGGGCAAGCCCAAGGGAAGGCAAGGGUGGGAACUGUUUCUCCGCAACCCCGUGGGGUGACCGUCCCCAUCACAAAACGAAGACACCUCUGAUGCAAAGUGCGAAUGAUUCCCAGCCGACGGAGCUCGUGGCGCUCAGGAUUCUCUUGUAGAAAAGGCACGUAUGUAUUGUCCAGUGGCCAUCACCCGGGUAGGCGUUGUGUGCGUCCACAUGUGGGGAAGGCAGAACUGCCCCCCCGCCCCCAGAGAAACUUGUACUCGUCAUUAUCCAUGUGGCUGAGGGCUAAGGUCUUUGAGUUCCAGUUUCCCCAUUUGUAAAAGUUGGAUCAGAUCACGAUGCUCAGCUCUGGCGCCGCAGUCAGGUCACCUGAGGGGCUUUGCAGAGCCCUGGGCUGAGCCACCCAGAACCUGUGCAGUACAGGCAUCACAUGGACGCACUCCUGGUUUCCCAGGUGGUUGCUGUGCAGCCGGGGUCACAGGCCAUGAAGCAGAGGACCAUGGAGGACUCCCUCCAGGCCGCUGGAAUUGUGGUCCACAACGUGCUGGCCCCCGAAUCCUCCCCUUGCUGUGACCUACGACCUGCGUCAGGAAGAAAGUGAUGCUGGGUUUUCUGUUGUGGUUUAAGUGAAGAGCAGAAGUUCCCACUAAGCCUUCAGCAGCAUGUCGGGUGGUCCUUUCAGGCCUUUGGACGCCACCUUCUCCGUAAGGUACAUCAGAUGCGCUCAGCAACCUCAUUCCUCAGGGAUGCCCGGAAGUUUAGAGAGCUCUGCUUGAAGGAAAGGACGAGCCCUUUAAAGUCUGCCUGGCGGCGCUAGGGAGAGGUGGGCCUUGCGUGUGGGAUCCCUGCGUUUCACGGACUCGGCAUUCGGGGCGGGCGCAGGCCCUGGUGCCAAGGUUGGUGCUGGGCCUGCAGCUGGCGGGGGGCUGAGAGCUCAGCCCCCCUGAGCAAGGGCUGCUUUACUGACUGCGUUUGUGAGGCGCCUGCUGGGCCCUGAAGAGGGUGGUGGCGGGUCCCCAGAGGAAGGAGCUGCUUGGUUAAGGCGGCUCAGAGGCUGGCACUCGCUGUGUUGACAGCCCUUAAAGGCAGGUGGCACGCGGUCCGUGCUGAGUUCAGGGAAGGGGAAGGCUCGCUGUGGGUGGAGGGGAGCCCCUGGGGCGUGGAAGGGCCACUCCGCUUCCUCGGUCCCACUCUUGGUGUGUGGUUCCUACCUUCUGCUGGAGGAGGACUUCACGGCGCGCGAGGCCCAGCUGUUCGUGUGGGCCCUCACUCUCCUGCCAGGUCCCGCCCUCCGGAACCUGCUGGAACUAGAGGCUGGGUGUUCGCUGGCGCACAGGAUGGCGCUGAACUAGGUGGUUUCGGUUUCCACACCAUGUUGGCACCUCUUCAGGUGAAAACCUACUUCAAAGCACAACAGGUUGCUACCUGCCAGAAGCACCCCCAGUGCCCGCCUCUCGCUGGAUGGCAUGGGAUGCGCCACACCCAGAGCGGCUCCUCGGUGUGGACCGCACACCUGCAGGGGUUCUGCUGACCCUGACGGUGGUCGUGAGCCCCUAGGAGAGCGGAGCGCUGCUCAGCGUGGGAACUUGCUACGCGAGGCUCCCGCCCCAGGUCACCGCAGGAAGGAGCGGGAUGUUGCCAGCCCGAGUGAGUUCUCAAGCAUCCUAGCGGGAUGGAUGUUCCCGGGAAUCGGCGUCUGAGUGCAGCAAGAGGGUCAGGCAUGUCUCAACGACGUCACAAGUACAGACUGCAGUCUGGAUGAAAUGCAAGAACACAGCUGAGUGACAACGUCGAGCCUCCAGGGUCACCGCAGAAAAAAUGUUGUAGGCCUCGCUUCUGCUCGGAGCGUGUGACAAGCCGGGGUUGAGCUAACGGGAGCCCCACUUUUACCGGCUGCUUCAGGGAGAAGCGGGAGAGGGCCGGGGAGGCCCGAGGACAGAGGAAGAAAGAGGAGUGUCGACCUCUGCUCCCAGAAGCUCCCGCAGCCUGGGUCCCGCUCACCUGAGGCACUGCGAGAAACAGUGAAAAUAAAUCACCUUUUGUGGCUCAAAGGCUGAAGGAGGGAAAGAGGAGGAGCCGGUCGGCCUUGGCGGGUCAGUGCUGCCCCGGGAGCGUCCCGCCUCGUCCCGCCUUGUCCCCGUGGCAGGUGAGUGCGGACUGCAGGCGCCGCAGCGGCCUGGGAGUGGGUUUCCUGACUGGUUCCCCGCUGAUCACCGGCCAGUGAGAGGCCGUCAAACAGACAUCCCCGUGGUGACCGCGGGACACCAUAAGGACCACACGCUGUCUUUAAAAAGUGUCCUCCAUCUGCAACUGAUGAAGCCCGUGGAGGAAGUGGCUUGUCCCUCCCCACUUCAGAAUGCUUUUUUGGGACACUCAUCACAGUUGGGAGCCAAAGGCCACGGUUGCAGACAGACAGCACUAAGAAUCUCGUAACGACCCCCUUGAGCUCCCUCCCUCAGUCUGAGCCAGGCUCUUCUCUCUUCGUCACCUGUGUGUGUACUUACAUCAUUCCAGUCGUUAAUCUUUUGCAGAAGAAAAACAGGUAAGAUUUUGCCGCAGGUAUGAUGGCCAACCUGAGCAGCAAAUGCUAACUGGGGCAGGUUUUUCCUGUUUUCUCACCUCCCGAGCUCUUCCAGAACCUCACCACACCCCUAUGAGGAGGUGGGAUCUGCAUCCCCGCCCUGUGUGUGAGCCGGGGUGAGCCUUUCAGGCGGCCUUAACGGAGGAUGGCUGGGUCCCGAGAGGCUACACGUCCUCCACGUGACUCCAGGAAAGCCCUCCUUUGGCAGCCAGCCGCCCGGAAGCCCAAGCCACCCGGACAGGACAAGGCCCUGGCCCUCGGCCGUCACACGGCAGCCCUGUGAGUGAGCCGCCCUAGAGCAGGACGCUCCAGCCCAGCCCCAGGGGUACGCUCUGUCCACACUGCAGCUGAGCUGGGUAGGUUGCUGGGGUUUCAAGCCACUAAGGGGUGAGUGGUUUGUUCACAGUGGCAGACACCGAGGCCUCCUUCCCUUCCUCCAUCACGCUCUCUGUGGGGUCGGCCCCAGCACACUUUCUGCAGAGCCUGGCUCGUCCUCGUCUCCCCAUCAGUUACCUCUGGAGCCUUGUGCUGCAUCUUCAACCCCAUGGAACAGAGAAUGCGGGUCUGAAGAGCUGCACCCUCGCUGCAUUAUUUUCAGGAUGGGCUUAUCCCUUCCAUCUUUCUGGGGCUGGAACCUACAUCACAAGGAGGCUUCAGGCGUCCUUGCUUGGGGGGCGACCCUCCUGAUUCUAUAUUUGUAGUUUGUACUGUUUUUCUUAGAAGGCCCCCCCCAAACUGUCUAAGCUAUGCACGAAAUGUAGGAGCUGCUCCCGUUCGUGCCUCUCUCCAGAUGGGAAGUAGCUGCGACUACUCAUCACUCCGCGGGAGCUCUGCUGUCCAACGAGAAGCAUCUCUCCCCAGGACUCCUAAGCAGCAGCCCGGGGCAUUUGAUAAUGAAAACGGUCAGUCGGUCAGGAAAACCUAACAGUCAAAUGUGUGUGUUGCACAUAAAGGAGUUUCCAAGAACCGGAAGCAAAGUUUGACGAAAUUAAAGGCAGACAGACAAUUCUACUGGGGUGAUGGGUAUUUUAACAUCUAAAUCACUUGUUCUCUCAGCAACUGGUCAAACGAGACCAGAAAAAACACAGACACAGGUGUUUUGAACAAAUCUCAUCUCCUUGCCCUCACUGGUGUUGGGGUCCAGGCCACCUUUGUCAGAAAACUGUCCUGAGGAUGGAGCCGCGGUUUGCUUUCACCUCUGCAAGUCACAGCACGCAGCAGCACCUUCAGACCUGCACACGGGACACCCUCCCUUCCCGCAACAGUUGUCAGAAGAAGCGGCACAUCUCUGGGCACGUGGUCUGGUAGGUGGUGGCCACCCGGAACUUUCAGGGAGACGCCCACGCCAAGUUCCAAGGGUCAGAGUGCGGUUAGCGCCGCACAAAGGGGCCCUUUCUAUGGGCUUGGGGUCGGGGGAGGCGGGGGACCUUGUAGGUUGCAACACGACCCCCUUUGCCCUCCUUCGAGCGGAGGACCCACGUUGGGGCCUUGCAAUCUGAGUUCGCCGUAGCAGAGCCCCGAGCCCCAGGCCGCAGGAGAGACAGGCACCUGCCCGGCACCUGCUCUGUGAGGUCGGGUGCGGCCCGAGGACGGCCCUCGGGGUACCUGGGACCCCGCCCCCCCCACCCGGCCGCGUCACGAGGCUGCGGUUAGGGCUGGGGGUGCGGGGUCCACGUGCAGACGGAUCGCCUUCCGCUUCCCGAGACACCGUCCCUUCCGCCCACAGCCGGGCCCGCAGCGCCCUGGGGACAGGCAGGCGCUAGACAAGACGCACCAGCCGUGCUAAUUGUCCUCCGCCUUCCAGCGCCGCGGGGACGCCUCGGCCCUGGACGGUUUGCGAGCGCUCAGCUUCCGCCUGAGGGAGGAGAACUUGUCGCCCAGGACUCGGCGCAGCCCCGCGCCGUCUCGGCCGCAGGGCGGGUCCUGCCGGGGGGCCGGGAGCCGCCCCGUGAACAGGUCCCAGCGGGCCAGGGCGUCCACGGCGCCGUCCACCCGCGCCAGCUCCUCCUCAGUCACGUCCCUCUCCAGGGCCUGGAUGCAGGCCGCCAGCCAGCGCCCGUGCUCCGCCAGGGCCUCCCCCGGGCUCUCUGCGGCCGCCAGGGAGCCCAGCCCGUCCUCAGGCUCCAGCUCCGGGCCCGCGGGGAAGGCGUGGCUCCAGGCGUCCGGGGACAGGGGCUCCGACAGGCCGCUGCCAGGCUCCGAGUCGCUCUCGCCGCACAGGCCCGAGUCCGCGCUGCAGGGCAGGGUGUCCUCCGACACGGACGGCUCCCCGGCCGCCGGCCCAGGCCGCGUCCCCGCCGCCGCUAGCGUCCAGGUGUACAGUCUCUACGAGGGAGAGACGCGGGCUGAGUCGGCCUGUCCGGCCCCUUCCCUCGCCAGGGAGCUGCCAGGAGACCCAGCCCCUCUCCCGAGGGGACCCCACUGUGCCCACGACCCAGGGCGAGUGGCGGUCUGGCGCCACAAGGGCCCUCGGAAUGGAGCCUCUAGAGACAGCGAGCUUGCAGGGGCUUUGCGAGCCCGACCGUUAUUCGGGGAUAAACUGAGCUGACUUGUUAACACUCUGCUCAAAGCAAAGGGAAUCAUGGUUUUCCUACAUCCCACUAGCACCUCUGCGCGUGGUGCAUGCGGGCAUCAGAGACGCCCGCGGUCAGCUACUGCCCACCUCCUCCCCACUCUCCUUCCGUGAUGGCUGAGAACCGGCCGUGGUGGAGUCGUCACACGAUGGAAACUGGCAGAUACGCCCAAUCGAGGAUUUUUCCUUAGAGGACGCUUACCAGCACACCACCGACUGAUGGGAACAGAUCCAGAGCAGGCCCAGGGCGCCCCCCUCGAGGUUAGGAGUCGCGGGAAGGCACGCGUCAGGGGAGGGGGACGAAGGGCCUGAAAGUUCGGAUCCGAUAGGCAAGCAAGACCCCAAGAAAGGAAGUGGUGAGAAACCCCAGACCUUGUGCAGGCCGCGGCUGCCCCGCUUCACCUUACACGCACACGAGGAUGAUGGGCAGCUGACAGCCAAGCCCCCAGCCCUGCGCUCGGUGGGGCGGGCGCUCUGGUGACGGUGACGCCCUGGCCCGGCGCAUCCUGCUGAGCGCCGUCAGCCAGUCGGCAGCAGAGGCACCUCCCUACGGGGGCACUGCCUCUGGGUCCCCUCUGCAGCGAGGCAGGCCGCCUCCUCAGCGCCCCUCGACGCGCUAUUUACCCCAGAGACAUUCAGGGAAGACCCAGGCCGGGAGGCAGCUCAGACCUGGACAUGCCCAGCCCCGUGUUCAGGGGUCCCCGACCAGCAGCAGCCUGGGAGCCCGUUAGAAACGCAGAGCCAACCCCUCCACAAGCACCGGAUCAUAAACUCCUGCCUGUCCAAGAGCCUCUCCCCCGAGCCCAGCCCCCGGACCCAGUGGGCUCCAGCAGCUGACCAUCUCCUAGAGGAGGACGGGCUUCCCAGAAUCUCAGACACAACGCGAUUCACUUAAAGCGUCUGGCUUAAAACUUUGGGUCUUAAAGUUGAGCCCAAGCUGUUUUGUUGGUGGGCCUAUGCCUUCAUUUGAACAAAAAACUUUUUUAACUUGGUAUUUUCAGCCAAAGGUGGAUUUAAAGAAGAAACUACCACUCUUCCAAAAGACUGAAGAGGAGGGAACACUCCCAAAGACAUUCUAUGAAGCCACCAUCACCCUGAUACCA